GGUGAGAAUCCUGCCUGAGCCGAGCGCGGGAGUGUAUCCCGGUACUCCCCACGGAUGGAGAGCCCCCGGCCCCUCUGCUCUUCAGGAUAUUCAAGGAGGAAGCCCAAAUAGCAAUCUUGGGGAAGGAAAUGAUCUAGGGGCUGAAGAAGAACGCUCCAGCAUCACCACACCACAUGUGGGGGGCUCUUGAGAACUGUCACCUGGAUCUACAGCCCACGCCUAUAACUUAUCAAGACAGAUGUCCCGACUGUCCCAUGACAAGCAAGAUGGUGCUGAGAUUAGCAAGUCGGCGGCCCCAUGAACACCGCAGGUCCACUGUGGAUGGAAAGAGUACCCACACCGCCAAGAGGAAGGGCAAGUCUAACUCCAAGGAGCCCGAGAUAAUGGAAUAUGAGGCAGAUAAUGGAAUAAGGGGCAGAGGGAAGCAGGGAAGUCACCUCACCUAAUUCCCUGUAUGUUGUGAGGACACUCUGCACAGCCUCCAGCCUCAGCUCACACAGACUCUCAGUGACACACCCGCGACUUACCUGGGCAAGCUUUUCCAGUCUAGAACUGCUUUGAUUGUUUCACAAUUCUUCCUCUCACCCCACCUUCCUGUCCCCCAUCUCUGGGGCUUGUGGGCAGAAAGAACAAGCUGGAUCCCUCCUAAAAACAGAAGCCAUUCUAGCAUCCCCAGUAACUUCUUCUCCAGGCCACAGACUUCAUACACCCUCCGUCAUGCCCUAAGACGUUUCCCGCCUCCUGGCCAUCCUAGGCCCCCUCCUUGGAAUAUGUUCUAGUUUAUCUCCUUCUGAGCACCCAGUAGAACUCAGUACUCCCAGAAUGGCAGACCAGACCAGAGUCAAACGGAACUCUCCCCUCCCUAUUCUUCUAUUAAUCUAGGCCCAGACCUUGGCACCAGCUUUGGCGGCCACAUCCUACGGUUGAUUCAUUAUGACCCCACUGACAGCUAAAAGCCUAGGUCAUUCUCAUCUGUGCUAUGAUGAUCUCUCUACCCUUCUAUUCAGCAAUGCCCUGGGGGCCCCUGUGGGGAUGCAGUUACAGGGCCCCUCAUUAUUUCUGUUCAAUUUCACCUUGCUAGGUUUGGCCCAUCACUCAAUCCCGUACAGAUCUCUUUAGAUCCUGGUUCUGUCACGAGAGGAGCUUUUCAUCCCCCCCAGCACUGUCUUCUGCCAGGUUGAUGUGCCCGCCAUAUCCUUUUAGGGGGUUAGAGGAAGGGCAUUUCCUCCCCCAUUGACCCGCUGACCACCUGUUGUACCGAUCUCAAAAAUAACCCCCAAUGAGCCCACCUCUUCAUAUCAAUGUCCUUGUAUCAUGCCCUCUCACACUGUUAGCAGGAUUGGUCUGUGUGGCCAAUAGUAUACAGCGGAAGUGGCAAUAAUUCACUUCCCAGAUUCCAGCUGGGGCUCUCUCCCUCCCUCUCUUUCUCUCUCUCUCAUCACUCUGGCGGAAGGAAGCCAUCAUGAGCAGCCCCAGGGUUUUGGCAAAAACCAAAGCCUUUUGCCAACAGUCAAGUGCAUGCGUGUGGAAGUGGAUCCUCCAGCUCAGUCAAGCCUCAGAUCAGGGCAGCCCCGGCUGACACCUCGGUUGUAGCCGCGUGAGAGAACCAGAACUGCCCAGCUAAGCCACCCCUGGAUUCCUGAGCCUCAGAAAGCGGAGAUAAUAAACAUCUGUUGUUUUAAGCCCCUGCGUCCGGGGUAAGUCGUUAGGCAGUGAUGGAGAAGUGACACCCCCUCACGUACAUCCAGGAACGAGGAGUUGACGACCAGGUUGCAGGUGCCAAGACAACAAGGGAC
This is a long non-coding RNA of Equus caballus (horse), 1796 nucleotides long. Lineage: Eukaryota; Metazoa; Chordata; Mammalia; Perissodactyla; Equidae. The record is from Ensembl.